RNAcentral lists this long non-coding RNA (1252 nucleotides) under Dasypus novemcinctus (nine-banded armadillo). RNAcentral's name for it is "lncRNA (ENSDNOG00000050488.1)". The record is from RNAcentral. Lineage: Eukaryota; Metazoa; Chordata; Mammalia; Cingulata; Dasypodidae.
AUGAAUGAAUGUGGAGGGCGGAGCCUGGGAAAACCCCUCUGCAACGCUGCGCUGAACAAAGCGCUUCGCCUGCCAGGAGGAGGGGGGGAAUGGAAGUGCCAGCGCAGGAAGGAGCCGCGAGUGGAUGCGGGGAGCCGGCGGGAGGAGGACGGCGGCGGGAGGCGGCGAAAGCCCGAGACGCCUGGGGGCCGCCGGCUCCCCGCCACCCCGCAAGUCCCGCCCGGACCCACCGCCCCCUCGCCAGCUGCCGCGGGCGCUCGCUCCCCACCCGGACGGAAACGACCCAGGUGGCCGGGGGGCAGCAAGGCGCUGGGGACAGAGAGCGAAAGGGAAAGAGAGCGACGAUGCCCGAGUAAUUCUCUGGAGACUGGGGAGACAUGACAACUAAAUGCAGUGAGGCACCCUGGAUUGAAUCCUGGAACAGGAAGAGAGGACGUGGACGGAAAAAGUGGUGCAAUCCCCAAAAGCCUGGAGGUUAGUUCUUACUACGUACCCCUGUCAAUUUCUUAUUUUUGACCAAUGGACCAUGGUAACUUCAGAUGCUAACAAGGCAGUAAACUGGAUGAGGGAUCUAUGGGGGCUCUCUGUAAUACUUUUGCAAAUUUUCCGUAAAUCUAAAAUUAUUUGGAAACAAAAAUUCAUCUUAAAAAAAUGGAAACCUUCAGCUACAGGGCCUAUUAUUACCCAUCUUUUAAAGAUAAAGUUGCUCAGGCCUAGAGAGGGGAAAUAAUAUGUCCAAGGUACCUCCAGACACAGUCUGGCCUGGACAAUUACUGUUGGCCCAUCCUGCCACCCGGGCAGUCUGCACUUCCCUUUAUAUUCUAUCUGCAGCCUGCUAGCACCGAGGCAUGCAGGUGGGACCUACAAACCCAGUUAUGAAGUAGGUAGUGUUUUUCCUCAAAUUCCCUUUGUUCUCUUUGAGAUUUAAUUCCCACCGUGAUGGCCUCUCUAGUAGGACCUGGCUUCAGGUGAAAAAAAGAUGUGGUAUGAGCAGUUGGAUGUUUGCCUACCUCAUGGGAGGUCCCGGGUUGUUUCCUGGUGCCUCCUAAAGAAGAAGAGCAAGACAGCAAGUUGACAUGAUAGCCUGGUGCAGCCAGCCCACGCAACAAGAUGAUGCAGUGAGGAGACGCAACGAGGAAACACAAUGAGAGACCCAAUAAGUGAGGAGCAUAUGUGGCUCAAGUGGUUUGUCAUCUCCUACAUGGAAAAUCUCGGGUUCGGUUCCCAGUUCCUCCUAAAAAGAAGACGAGCA